Molecule: long non-coding RNA, 308 nt
Organism: Pipistrellus kuhlii (Kuhl's pipistrelle)
Lineage: Eukaryota; Metazoa; Chordata; Mammalia; Chiroptera; Vespertilionidae
Exons: 3
Source: RefSeq, a predicted model, not a curated record
GGGGAUGGUGAGGGGCUGGGGAAGAAGAAUGUUAACGAAUUGGGAUAAUGCUCCAGAGAAUGGCAGGUUACAUUUGUAUUUAUACAUUGCCAUCAAAGGAUGGACAUAGGUGGGUUGCAUUAAAUUCAUUGGUGAUAGAUUAAGGAGGUGGGAUGAAGCAAAGGGUGGGGGGAACAUCUGGGAUUGGAUAAACAGUGAAAUGAGGGACACAUACUUAGGUGGGUGCAGGAACAAUUAACAUGAUAAUAAAGGAAUUUGUGAUAUCUGUCCUGGCGCCCACCACACUUGGUUGUGCCCCAUGGGCUCCA